This 253-nucleotide ribosomal RNA is filed under the name uncultured bacterium. RNAcentral's name for it is "partial 16S ribosomal RNA". It matches the Rfam family "Bacterial small subunit ribosomal RNA", at positions 524 to 776 of the family's 1533-position model. The record is from RNAcentral.
UACGUAGGGAGCAAACGUUGUCCGGAAUCAUUGGGCGUAAAGCGCGCGUAGGUGGCUUCGUAAGUCCGUUGUGAAAGUCAAAGGCUCAACCUUUGAAAGCCGAUGGAUACUGCGGAGCUAGAGUACGGAAGAGGCGAGUGGAAUUCCUGGUGUAGCGGUGGAAUGCGCAGAUAUCAGGAGGAACACCAAUAGCGAAGGCAGCUCGCUGGGACGUUACUGACACUGAGGCGCGAAAGCGUGGGGAGCGAACAGG